GAUGAAGAACGUAGCGAAAUGCGAUAAGUAAUGUGAAUUGCAGAAUUCAGUGAAUCAUCGAAUCUUUGAACGCACCUUGCGCUCCUUGGCAUUCCGAGGAGCAUGCCUGUUUGAGUGUCAUUAAAUUCUCAAGACCUGUCUGCUUUUUUGAUAGGUAUUGGAUUUUGGGGGUUGCAGGCUGUUUCAAAUAAAUAGCCUUGCUCUCCUUGAAUGUAUUAGUGGAGAAAAGCCAUUGAACUCCAUUGGUGUGAUAAAACCUAUCAGUGCCAGGAGCAAUAUCACUACUUCUCUCUGCUGUCUAACUGUGACUGUCUGUAUUAAUUAGUAUGGAUGGGGACAACUUGACCAACUUGACCUCAAAUCAGGUAGGACUACCCGCUGAACUUAAGCAUAUCAAUAAGCGGAGGA
RNAcentral lists this unclassified non-coding RNA (408 nucleotides) under soil metagenome. RNAcentral's name for it is "partial contains 5.8S ribosomal RNA, internal transcribed spacer 2, and large subunit ribosomal RNA". The stretch from base 1 to 120 matches the Rfam family "5.8S ribosomal RNA", at positions 35 to 154 of the family's 154-position model. The record is from RNAcentral.